RNAcentral lists this ribosomal RNA (404 nucleotides) under Bacteroidota bacterium. RNAcentral's name for it is "Bacteroidetes bacterium partial 16S ribosomal RNA". It matches the Rfam family "Bacterial small subunit ribosomal RNA", at positions 355 to 776 of the family's 1533-position model. Lineage: Bacteria; Pseudomonadati; Bacteroidota. The record is from RNAcentral.
UGGGGAAUAUUGCACAAUGGAGGGAACUCUGAUGCAGCGACGCCGCGUGAACGAAGAAGGCUUUCGAGUCGUAAAGUUCUUUUAUAUGGGAAGAUAAUGACGGUACCAUAAGAAAAAGCCCCGGCUAACUACGUGCCAGCAGCCGCGGUAAUACGUAGGGGGCAAGCGUUGUCCGGAAUCACUGGGCGUAAAGGGCGCGCAGGCGGUCUGUUAAGUCAGAUGUGAAAGGUUAGGGCUCAACCCUGAACGUGCAUCUGAUACUGGCAGACUUGAGUAUGGAAGAGGUAAGUGGAAUUCCUAGUGUAGCGGUGAAAUGCGUAGAUAUUAGGAGGAACACCAGUGGCGAAGGCGACUUACUGGGCCAUAACUGACGCUGAGGCGCGAAAGCGUGGGGAGCAAACAGG